UUCGGUGUAGGAUGAGCUCGCGGCCUAUCAGCUUGUUGGUGGGGUGAUGGCCUACCAAGGCGACGACGGGUAGCCGGCCUGAGAGGGUGACCGGCCACACUGGGACUGAGACACGGCCCAGACUCCUACGGGAGGCAGCAGUGGGGAAUAUUGGACAAUGGGCGAAAGCCUAAUCCAGCAAUACCGCGUGUGUGAAGAAG
Molecule: ribosomal RNA, 200 nt
Filed under: Chaetoceros affinis
Lineage: Eukaryota; Bacillariophyta; Thalassiosirophyceae; Chaetocerotales; Chaetocerotaceae
Description: partial Bacterial small subunit ribosomal RNA
Rfam family: Bacterial small subunit ribosomal RNA
Source: RNAcentral